UGCGUGUUUCGCGAGGAGGAUCAGAGGAGGAGAAAGCAAGCGAAUCACUGCCCAAGUGUGUCACCCUCAUUCAGGUGUCAUGAAGGGCCUGGAAUUGUAGAAUGGUUGAGGAUCCAGGUGUGACAGCUGAGGCUCCAGAAAAUGGGAAUGCAACUAAACCAACCCAGAGGUUUUCUCAGACCUCUCUGUCCCAACAUGGCCUGGCUGUUGGUGUUGCACCAUGAGCACAGAUAACCCUUCCCUGGAACAACCCCAUUCUGCGGGAUUGAAGCUCACCAAGCCCUCAGACCUCAUCAAGACUCUUUGUCCAGCAUGGAAAAGAAGGAUUUCCCCCCUCCUUCAAACCUCCCUAUCACUUGCUCAGAGGCUCAGGGGUCUGAGCUACUCUGCACACAUCUAUUCUCAAGAGAUAGAAGAAGGUGCAGCAUCAGUAUCCCAGAACUUCAGAGCACAGUAG
RNAcentral lists this long non-coding RNA (457 nucleotides) under Zonotrichia albicollis (white-throated sparrow). RNAcentral describes it as "lncRNA (ENSZALG00000004489.1)". Lineage: Eukaryota; Metazoa; Chordata; Aves; Passeriformes; Passerellidae. The record is from RNAcentral.